UGGAAACGCUAUGGAGCCUCUACGUUUCGGUUCUCUUGGAACAAGACGGAAGAGAGUCUCUCUUACCGUCGCGCAUACCUAAAGCGGGUCUGCCGCCUUCGUUUCUCUUUCUUCGCCGAAUGACUUUGACUUGCGCUCGCGCGCCGCAUCGCACCCUUGAUUAUCAUGGGCGGGUGCUGGCGCUCCGCGAGGGCGCGGCACAAGCCGCGACGGCCGGUCGGCCUUGCGAGACUUGCGUCUCGGUGGCGAGAGCCUAUUUAAGGCGCAGUGUCUAAGGGCUUGUAGCUCAGUUGGUUAGAGCGCGCGCUUGAUAAGCGUGAGGUCGGAGGUUCAAGUCCUCCCAGGCCCACCACUUCCUAUUCUUAUAGGAAGGUUAUCAGGGGCCGUAGCUCAGCUGGGAGAGCGCCUGCUUUGCAAGCAGGAUGUCGUCGGUUCGAUCCCGUCCGGCUCCACCAACCAUCUUCUGCGAAGAUGGGGCGUGUCGAGUAGAGACGGUGAGAAAAAGUCAUUCGAAAAAGAGUUUGCGUCGAGCCCUGUGCUCUGCGCCUGUUCUGUUUGACAUCGUAAAGAGAAGAUUUGUUCGAACUUCAUGAGCCGCAAGGUCUCAUGAUUUGUCGCAAGGGACGCUCAAUCCCUUGCUUAUGAUGGGUUUGCCUAACCGCGCCCUCGAACGGAUCUCGAGAAGCUGGUCUUUUUGUGCCAAUUCCAUUGAAGCAGGUCCCGCACAGGAUCUGGUUCGAGGCGACGAUCCCUGCGGGAUCGCGCUUAGCCAAUCCCGCAAGGGGUUUGGCUUGAACGACGAUCCCUUCGGGAUCGCGUGAUGGGUAUUGGCAAUGAGAACGAUCAAGUGUCUUAAGGGCAAUUGGUGGAUGCCU
This 875-nucleotide transfer RNA is filed under the name Mesorhizobium sp. ORS 3404. RNAcentral describes it as "partial contains 16S-23S ribosomal RNA intergenic spacer, tRNA-Ile, and tRNA-Ala". The stretch from base 276 to 349 matches the Rfam family "tRNA". Lineage: Bacteria; Pseudomonadati; Pseudomonadota; Alphaproteobacteria; Hyphomicrobiales; Phyllobacteriaceae. The record is from RNAcentral.